Molecule: ribosomal RNA, 382 nt
Filed under: uncultured soil bacterium
Lineage: Bacteria
Description: bacterial SSU rRNA
Rfam family: Bacterial small subunit ribosomal RNA
Source: RNAcentral
AGAUUGAACGCUGGCGGCAUGCCUUACACAUGCAAGUCGAACGGCAGCACGGGGGCAACCCUGGUGGCGAGUGGCGAACGGGUGAGUAAUGCAUCGGAACGUGCCCAGUAGUGGGGGAUAACUAGUCGAAAGAUUAGCUAAUACCGCAUACGACCUAUGGGUGAAAGCGGGGGAUUCGCAAGAACCUCGCGCUAUCGGAGCGGCCGAUGUCUGAUUAGCUAGUUGGCGGGGUAAAAGCCCACCAAGGCUUCGAUCAGUAGCUGGUCUGAGAGGACGACCAGCCACACUGGGACUGAGACACGGCCCAGACUCCUACGGGAGCAGCAGUGGGGAAUUUGGACAAUGGGCGCAAGCCUGAUCCAGCCAUGCCGCGUGCGGGGAA